ACCAUAUAACACUUCUUCCCUAUUGACAGAGCUUUACGACUCGAAAGCCUUCAUCACUCACGCGGCGUCGCUGCAUCAGGGUUUCCCCCAUUGUGCAAAAUUCCUC
Molecule: ribosomal RNA, 106 nt
Filed under: uncultured bacterium
Lineage: Bacteria
Description: partial 16S ribosomal RNA
Source: RNAcentral